This 1229-nucleotide ribosomal RNA is filed under the name metagenome. RNAcentral describes it as "bacterial SSU rRNA". It matches the Rfam family "Bacterial small subunit ribosomal RNA", at positions 184 to 1433 of the family's 1533-position model. The record is from RNAcentral.
CCACAAAAGUGAGCAAGGGAAAUAUUUAUAGCUCUAGGAUCGGCCUGUACGGUAUCAGCUAGUCGGUGAGGUAAUGGCUCACCAAGGCAAUGACACCUAACUGGUUUGAGAGGAUGAUCAGUCACACUGGAACUGAGACACGGUCCAGACUCCUACGGAAGGCAGCAGUGGGGAAUAUUGCACAAUGGACGAAAGUCUGAUGCAGCAACGCCGCGUGGAGGAUGACACAUUUCGGUGCGUAAACUCCUUUUAUAUAGGAAGAUAAUGACGGUACUAUAUGAAUAAGCACCGGCUAACUCCGUGCCAGCAGCCGCGGUAAUACGGAGGGUGCAAGCGUUACUCGGAAUUACUGGGCGUAAAGAGCGUGUAGGCGGGUAAAUAAGUUGGAAGUGAAAUCCUAUGGCUCAACCAUAGAACUGCUUCCAAAACUGUUAACCUAGAAUGUGGGAGAGGUAGAUGGAAUUUCUGGUGUAGGGGUAAAAUCCGUAGAUAUCAGAAGGAAUACCGAUUGCGAAGGCGAUCUACUGGAACACUAUUGACGCUGAGACGCGAAAGCGUGGGGAGCAAACAGGAUUAGAUACCCUGGUAGUCACGCCCUAAACGAUGUACACUAGUUGUUGUGAGGCUAGACCUUGCAGUAAUGCAGUUAACACAUUAAGUGUACCGCCUGGGGAGUACGGUCGCAAGAUUAAAACUCAAAGGAAUAGACGGGGACCCGCACAAGCGGUGGAGCAUGUGGUUUAAUUCGACAUACGCGAAGAACCUUACCUGGUCUUGACAUAGAAAGAACUUUCCAGAGAUGGAUUGGUGCCUGCUUGCAGGAGCUUUCAUACAGGUGCUGCACGGCUGUCGUCAGCUCGUGUCGUGAGAUGUUGGGUUAAGUCCCGCAACGAGCGCAACCCUCGUCGUUAGUUGCUAACAGUUCGGCUGGGAACUCUAACGAGACUGCCUACGCAAGUAGGAGGAAGGUGAGGACGACGUCAAGUCAUCAUGGCCCUUACGACCAGGGCUACACACGUGCUACAAUGGGGUAUACAAAGAGCAGCGAUACGGUGACGUGGAGCGAAUCUCAAAAAUGCCUCCCAGUUCGGAUAGUAGUCUGCAACUCGACUACUUGAAGUUGGAAUCGCUAGUAAUCGUAGAUCAGCUAUGCUACGGUGAACACGUUCCCGGGUCUUGUACUCACCGCCCGUCACACCAUGGGAGUUGAAUUCAUUCGAAGCGGGGAU